UUUCUGUACCUUCCUUCACAGAACGCAACAGGGAAGAAACUACCCUUUUGAAGUUGCCUGUUCCUUUAUUGGUUUGAUCAUUAUGAUCUUCUCAAAGAAUGAGCAGAAGGUGAUUAACUGUAUGCACUGGUAAACACGGCAAAGUUUUUCCACCAAUGGAAAGGAAACAGAAGGGCAUUUUUUAUUGGGGAAUUUUGAAAAGCUGGCAUGUAACUAUUGCUACAGAGUUGAAGUUCCGUGGCCUGAGAGCUGGGAAGUCUGAAGUCUGUGAAAGUUAGUACAGCUCUGUCAAACUCAUUGAGGAAUCUCAGUGCAGCACAAGGGUGGCAACGCAGUUCCAUCAUCUGCACUUGUUUGUUCCAAGAGUGUUAUUCGAGUAGAGGACUGUGACUACAUACUCACGGUGAAUAUUUAGAGUGGCAACUGGUAGUUUGCAUGUUAAAAAGUUUUUCUAUAAAUGUCAACAAUACACUCUAUUCAUAAUAUAUACAAAAGAAUAAAGAGCGC
Mobula hypostoma (lesser devil ray) is the source of this 507-nucleotide long non-coding RNA. RefSeq lists it as uncharacterized. The transcript has 4 exons. NCBI's taxonomy places the organism in Eukaryota, Metazoa, Chordata, Chondrichthyes, Myliobatiformes, Myliobatidae. The record is from RefSeq and is a predicted model, not a curated record.